AAUUGUGAUCUCAUGCAACCAGUGUUUAUUUAUAUAUUAAUCAAAAAAAAAGAACAACUUGCUUGUGUGCUUAUAUUAGGUUAUACUACGUAAGUAUUCAUGCAUGUAUAUCUUUUUUAGUGCGAAGCAGUAAUUUCUAAUAUUAAUAAAAAUAUACUUUUUGUGGACAUUGGGGGGUCGUGAAGACUCUAUCAGUGAGUAUUUGUUCUCGGAAGGACUAGAUAUGUAUAUUGAAUAAUCGGACAUAGUACGAUAAGGUUGUAUGUCUAAAGGGAAAUAGCCCAGAACAAGAGUUAAUAAGGUUCCAAAAUUUUUGUUAAGUGAAAUUAAGGCAGUAUUUAUCCCAAUCGGCCAGGGAAUAGGCUUAGAAGCGGCCAUUUUUUGAAGAUCUCGUAACAGAGCACUGGUUUUAUAUUUUAUGGAUAAAAGCACCGAAAAUUUAACGGAUCUAAACAAAAUACCGAUACCUUGUCCAUAUAUAUUAAUGUGUAUAUUAUGUAUUGUAUAUAUGGGGUAGCGGAACAUUGGGUGUGAAACAGCCAUUUUUAAUCCUUUAUAAGGAUUAAAUUGCCUAGAGUUUUUAUUAAUCUC
RNAcentral lists this ribosomal RNA (591 nucleotides) under Cladonia subturgida. Its description in RNAcentral is "partial large subunit ribosomal RNA". The stretch from base 122 to 518 matches the Rfam family "Bacterial large subunit ribosomal RNA", at positions 859 to 1232 of the family's 2925-position model. The record is from RNAcentral. Lineage: Eukaryota; Fungi; Ascomycota; Lecanoromycetes; Lecanorales; Cladoniaceae.